Molecule: RNA transcript, 1709 nt
Organism: Anopheles moucheti
Lineage: Eukaryota; Metazoa; Arthropoda; Insecta; Diptera; Culicidae
Gene name: antichymotrypsin-2-like
Exons: 6
Source: RefSeq, a predicted model, not a curated record
CGGCAUUACACAGCUUUUGGUGUGCGUUAGCUUUAUAACAUCAUCCCUUCUUCUUUCCUUUUCAACAAGAGCAUAACUCCCGGUUAGCAGUGUUGGUGUCAAUUGUGUUGUCGAAUAUUAAAAAAAAAGCAUCCAAAUUUGCCGGCCCAUCACAAAACCAUCGGCAUACACACCAUUUCAACACCACAUCAGACCGAUGAGUCAUCGUACGCAAUGUACGGUCUACGACGAUACGGUUCGCCACUCCCAGUGUUGUUACUACAAUUACUAGCCAGUUCGCUAUCGAUUCAAGCACAGUUCACAAAUCAACCGGAAAUAAUCAACAAUUUGUUACACACCAUGGCCGAUAGCAGCAAUGUUGAUGCGCAGUUUGUUGGACAGUCGAACAGCUUUGCCACCAAGCUGUACCAGAAAAUAAGUGCACAAAAUGUGGGAGAAAAUGUGGUCGUUUCCCCGUUCUCGAUCAGUGCGUGCCUUUCACUUGCCGCCAUGGGUGCUGGUGGUCUUACCGCGGAAGAAAUGUACUCCGUGCUAGAGUUCGGAACGCCGAAGGAAAAGGAGACAGUAGCCGACAACUAUCGCCGCCUGAUGACGCGCCUCGCAUCCGACAGUACGGUGAAUGUGGCGAAUAAGGUGUACGUUAUGCAGAACUACAACGUCAAGAGCACAUUUAACGCGAUCGCCACGGAAAGCUUCCAGUCGGAGGCGGAGGCGGUCAACUUCGCGGAGAAUGCUGUUGCUGCCAAAAAGAUAAACGGCUGGGUGGAAAGCAAAACGAACAACAAGAUAAAGGAUCUCAUUUCACCGGAUGCGCUGGAUGAGCUCACGCGGAUGGUGCUGGUCAAUGCGGUACACUUCAAGGGUACGUGGACGUACCAGUUCGAUUCGAGCCUGACGCGUCCGUUCCCGUUCUGGGUGAGCGAAACGGAAUCGCGCCAAGUACCGAUGAUGAACAUCAAGAAACACUUCGCGUACAAUAACUUCGAGCAGCACAACUUUGCCGCGCUGGAGUUAACGUACAGCGGCAGCGACAUGACGAUGCUGAUACUGCUCCCACACGAACGGACCGGAUUGGCAGCACUAGAAGAAAAGCUGCCCAGUCUGAAUUUGGCCGAACUGACCACCCAAAUGCACAAGCAGGAGGUCGAAGUAUUCCUGCCCAAAUUUAAGAUCGAAUUUACGCGCGAUCUAAACGACGAUCUGAAGGCGCUCGGCAUGGGCAGGAUGUUCAGUGAUUCGGCUGAAUUUCCCGACUUGUUGGAGCAAAACGACCCGCUCAAGGUGUCCAAAGUCGUCCACAAAGCGUUUAUCGAGGUGAACGAGGAAGGCACUGAAGCGGCGGCAGCAACUGGUAUGAUCAUGAUGAUGCGCUGCAUGCCGAUGCAUCCCUACUUCACGGUCGAUCAUCCGUUCCUUUACGUCCUGAGACAUCAGCAGAUGGUCUACUUUAUGGGACGCGUGGCGAAGGUUGAAGCUUAAGGAGAAGCGGUGAACAAACGGGUUUCCCUCGUUUUGUUUCGAGAGAACGUACGACUGCGCAGCAACAGCAACAGCAAGUGAUAAGACAGCAUGAUUAUGGCAACGUUCUGUAUGAUCAUCUCCGAACCAGUGAAAUUUGUCGCGGAUCAUCCAUUUGUUUACGCGCUAAUGUCACGCGAAAAGAACGUAUUUUUCCUUGGGAAAGCAUGUAAAAUGCUGUAAAAUAGUUU